GGUGCCGCAAGGCUCAAUAGGGAAUCGGGUGAGAAUCCCGGACAGUUCCCGCUGCUGUAAGCUCUUCACGCCGAGCACAAUGCCACUGAAAACCUCGUUUUUCGGGAAGGCGCAAAGCCCAAAGGAGUAAGUCAGAAGACCUGCCGCUUGUCA
Molecule: non-coding RNA, 153 nt
Filed under: bovine gut metagenome
Source: RNAcentral